CAAGGGUAUUGUAAUAAGGUUUUAAUUGAAUGCUAAAAGAAUGGAAUUACAGGGAAAAGUUUUUUUAAAUUUAAUAAUUGAAGUUAUUUUAAUUUGUGAAGAAACAAUUAUAUAAAUUAAAGACAAGAAGACCCUAAGAAUUUAAGAAUUUUUAUUAAUAUAUUAUACGUAUAUAUAUAUAUAUAAAUAAAAUUCUUAGUUGGGGCAACUAAAAAAUAUAUUAAACUUUUUUUUUAAAAAAAUGAUCCAUUAUUAAUGAUAAUAUGAAAAAAAUACUCUAGGGAUAACAGCGUAAUAAUUUUUGAUAGAUCUUAUAGACAAAAUAGUUUGCGACCUCGAUGUUGGAUUAGGAUACUUUUUUAAUGAAGAUGUUAAAAAAAGAAGUUUGUUCAACUUUUAAAUUCCUACAUGAUCUGAGUUUAGACCGUGAAACAAUGACGA
This 441-nucleotide ribosomal RNA is filed under the name Dermacentor nuttalli. RNAcentral's name for it is "partial large subunit ribosomal RNA". The stretch from base 283 to 439 matches the Rfam family "Bacterial large subunit ribosomal RNA", at positions 2473 to 2632 of the family's 2925-position model. Lineage: Eukaryota; Metazoa; Arthropoda; Arachnida; Ixodida; Ixodidae. The record is from RNAcentral.